Molecule: long non-coding RNA, 794 nt
Organism: Patella vulgata (common limpet)
Lineage: Eukaryota; Metazoa; Mollusca; Gastropoda; Patellidae
Exons: 3
Source: RefSeq, a predicted model, not a curated record
CACGCACACGAAAUUGCCCCGACACAGUUGAGAAUAACGACGAAGAUUGUUUUUACGCUGAAGUGGAAGAAGAAAAUAUUGCGUGUAACGCACCGGGCGUCUGUCAGCUAGCAGUAAAUGGAGGCCUAGGUCCAUGGUCACAGUGGAGAACGAGCGGAGAAUGUACAGCUUAUUGUGGAUCUGGGUUACAACCCAUGGAGAGAACCAGAGAAUGUAAUAACCCCACUCCGACUGCAGGCGGCGCUAACUGUGUUGGUGAUACAAUCGAAAUGACGAAUCAACCAUGCACAGCUACAAAUUUUCAGUGCAACUUCAUGUGUGCAAGAUUUCAGAACACGGUCAUAACCUCCCCAAGAAGAAACGGGCAGUAUUUACAAUGUGCAUAUGGAAACGUUAACUGGGUCGACUGUCAACCAACGAGUGUUUAUCAACAACAACUGAACACACUAAACACACAAUUUUCUUGGUUUAAUUUUAACUACAACGUUUGGUUACAACGUAACAAUUUACAGCUACGUCUACGAGUGUGCAGCAAUACUGGCAGUUUCAUCAGUGGAAUGCGAUUAUAAUUAAACAAGGGAGCGGUUGUUGAUUUAAUUUUUUUUAAAAAAACAACAUUUUAUGGGCAUUUUUUCGAUGUUUAUUGAGGAUAAAAAACACUCACUGACUAUAUCUGCUUCAAAGUGUAUUUUCAUACGUGUUGUUUUAUCUUGGAAAUUGCUAAAUAAAAUCAAGUUGAAUACAACCCCAUUCAUUAGUGUGAGAAGGAUUUUAGCUUUUGUGGGACUGUAUAU